RNAcentral lists this ribosomal RNA (917 nucleotides) under uncultured bacterium. RNAcentral describes it as "bacterial SSU rRNA". It matches the Rfam family "Bacterial small subunit ribosomal RNA", at positions 56 to 1012 of the family's 1533-position model. The record is from RNAcentral.
UGCAAGUCGUACGAGAGUUUUUAACUCAAGUGGCGGACGGGUGAGUAACGCGUGAGAAUUUGCCUUUAGGAGGGGGACAACAACUGGAAACGGCUGCUAAUACCCCAUAUGCUUUCGAGUAAAAUGAAUUUAUUCGCCUAGAGAGAAGCUCGCGUCUGAUUAGCUUGUUGGUAGGGUAAAGGCCUACCAAGGCGACGAUCAGUAUCUGGUUUGAGAGGACGAUCAGACACACUGGAACUGAGACACGGUCCAGACUCCUACGGGAGGCAGCAGUGGGGAAUUUUCCGCAAUGGGCGAAAGCCUGACGGAGCAAUACCGCGUGAGGGAAGACGGCCUAUGGGUUGUAAACCUCUUUUUUCAGGGAGGAAUAAAUGACGUGUACCUGAAGAAUAAGCAUCGGCUAACUCCGUGCCAGCAGCCGCGGUAAGACGGAGGAUGCAAGUGUUAUCCGGAAUCACUGGGCGUAAAGCGUCUGUAGGUUGUUAAAUAAGUCAACUGUUAAAUCUUGAAGCUCAACUUCAAAAUCGCAGUCGAAACUGUUUGACUAGAGUAUAGUAGGGGUAAAGGGAAUUUCCAGUGGAGCGGUGAAAUGCGUAGAUAUUGGAAAGAACACCGAUGGCGAAGGCACUUUACUGGGCUAUUACUGACACUCAGAGACGAAAGCUAGGGUAGCAAAUGGGAUUAGAUACCCCAGUAGUCCUAGCCGUAAACAAUGGAUACUAGAUGUUGAACAGAUCGACCUGUGCAGUAUCAAAGCUAACGCGUUAAGUAUCCCGCCUGGGAAGUAUGCGCGCAAGCGUGAAACUCAAAGGAAUUGACGGGGGCCCGCACAAGCGGUGGAGCAUGUGGUUUAAUUCGAUGCAACGCGAAGAACCUUACCAGGGUUUGACAUGAUACGAAUUUUUGUGAAAGCAAAA